AUCCAGCUGACGAGUCCCGAAUAGGACGAAACGCGCGUUCUGGAU
Molecule: non-coding RNA, 45 nt
Organism: Schistosoma margrebowiei
Lineage: Eukaryota; Metazoa; Platyhelminthes; Trematoda; Strigeidida; Schistosomatidae
Source: Rfam